UAGUCCAUGCCGUAAACGAUGAUUACUCGAUGUUGGUUCGCCAGUGUCUAAGCGAAAGUUAUAAGUAAUCCACCUGGGGAGUACGAUCGCAAGAUUGAAACUCAAAGGAAUUGACGGGGGCCCGCACAAGCGGUGGAGCAUGUGGUUUAAUUCGAUGAUACGCGAGGAACCUUACCUAGGCUUAAAUGUUAUAUGACAGCUUGUGAAAGCAAGUUUCCCUUGUGGCAUAUAAUAAGGUGCUGCAUGGUUGUCGUCAGCUCGUGCUGUGAGGUGUCGGGUUAAGUCCCGCAACGAACGCAACCCCUAUUAACUGUUGCCAGCAUUUCGGAUGGGGACUCAGUUAAGACUGCCUACGCAAGUAGAGAGGAAGGAGGGGACGACGUCAGGUCAUCAUGGCCCUUACGCCUAGGGCGACACACGUGCUACAAUGGUAGAUACAGAGUGUAGCGAGCUAGCAAUAGUAAGCCAAUCACAAAAAGUCUAUCACAGUUCGGAUU
This 497-nucleotide ribosomal RNA is filed under the name uncultured bacterium. RNAcentral describes it as "bacterial SSU rRNA". It matches the Rfam family "Bacterial small subunit ribosomal RNA", at positions 791 to 1299 of the family's 1533-position model. The record is from RNAcentral.